This 460-nucleotide unclassified non-coding RNA is filed under the name Hevea brasiliensis (rubber tree). The record is from RNAcentral. Lineage: Eukaryota; Viridiplantae; Streptophyta; Magnoliopsida; Malpighiales; Euphorbiaceae.
AAGUGUGCAGGCUGAUAUGUAACAUCAUCUUACCAAUUUCUAUGUUUGGAAGGAUUGGUGCAGUAUUCCUAUAAAUCUUCUUGUAAUUACUCAUGACAUUAAUUUCUCUGCAAUCCAACAUGAAAAUGAUUGAACGAUAAUGAAAAUCUUUUUUAUGUAGAAAAAUGAACAAUGUCAUGAUUAUUAAGUUAAACGUUAUAUGCUGCAUGCCUAUUUAUGUAGUUCUUAACUUCUGUUCAUAUUUUUAAAAUCUGUAUCAUACAUGCUUUUGCAAUUAUUAGAAUAUGUCUUAAAAGAAUCAAUGGGAUAUUAAUGGACCUUAUUCAUUUCUGCCUGUAUCACAGUUUUAGUUAUUAUGAUUAUGAAUGCUUUAAGCAAAUUUUAAUGCACUUACAUUUCUAUAGUUGUCGGGUGAUAUACAUGAGGAGGUGGAGACUCAUAAUCACAUGCUGGACAGAAU